ACCUCCAUCACUUGGCACCUUAUUUUUUUCUUCUUUUUCUUCCCUUUCUUAAAGGGACCACAUCUACCUGAAGAAGAUGCUCCCACUACAUUCACCAUCUCUUUGUGGAGUUGGUGAUCUUUCUCAUAAGUCUAUAGCAACCCCAAUAAACUGUGGUAGUGUACUAUAGAUUUUGUCAUUCGAUAAUGACUAAGAAAUGGUAAGCAGAACUUCAGUAGGAAAUUUAGAAUCACAUCUUUUCCAAGCUGUUCGUACAAGAGAAAGCUGAGCUUGUUGAAGCACUUGAUCUAUUCGAUCAUGUAUAAUAUAUGAAC
This 314-nucleotide long non-coding RNA is filed under the name Elaeis guineensis (African oil palm). RNAcentral's name for it is "long non-coding RNA (EGUI_LNC055192)". The record is from RNAcentral. Lineage: Eukaryota; Viridiplantae; Streptophyta; Magnoliopsida; Arecales; Arecaceae.